This 320-nucleotide ribosomal RNA is filed under the name uncultured eukaryote. Its description in RNAcentral is "partial 18S ribosomal RNA". It matches the Rfam family "Eukaryotic small subunit ribosomal RNA", at positions 1470 to 1796 of the family's 1831-position model. The record is from RNAcentral.
CCCCUAGAUGUUCUGGGCCGCACGCGCGCUACACUGAACAGUUCAACAAGUCUUAACCUUGGCCGAUAGGUCUGGGUAAUCUUUGAACGCUGUUCGUGAUUGGGAUAGACCUUUGCAAUUAUGGGUCUUCAACGAGGAAUUCCUAGUAAACGCAAGUCAUCAGCUUGCAUUGAUUACGUCCCUGCCCUUUGUACACACCGCCCGUCGCACCUACCGAUUGAAUGGUCCGGUGAAAUCUCGGGACGGCGGCUUGUUCGCUUGCGUCCGACUGCUGAAACUUGAUUAAACCAUAUCAUUUAGAGGAAGGUGAAGUCGUAACA